CCAUCUCAAGGUCAAACUUGGUCAUGAGCUUGCGCAUUUCAUUAUGUCUGGCUUUAAAUUGGCACGCUUUGCGGUCCCUAGAUCGAUCUAAGCUCAUAAAAUUGCGCUGUUUGGUUUUGAUCUUUUGCGGACUUGCCACAAAUAUUUUUUGAAA
This 154-nucleotide unclassified non-coding RNA is filed under the name uncultured Orbiliales. RNAcentral describes it as "sequence contains ITS2". The record is from RNAcentral. Lineage: Eukaryota; Fungi; Ascomycota; Orbiliomycetes; Orbiliales.